CUCUUCUCUUGUCUGCUGCCAUGUGAGACAAGCUUUUAACCUUCUGCCAUGAUUUUGAAGCCUCCCCAGCCACGUGGAACUAUGAAAAAUUUGGAGUCUAGUGAAAAGAAGUGACUUGCUCAAAAUCACACAGCACAUGAAGAACAGAGCCUCUAUGAUGAAUUUCUUGACAGAUCAAGAACUACUUUGGACUUUAUGUCUUAUUACUCAAGGAAGACAUUUCCUAAGCUACAGAGGCCAUAGAUAGUGAUUCCUCUGAUGGAUCUUGGCAAAGUAAGUGGAAAACUUUCUGGAAAGAAUUCACAACUCUAGAUGUCAUUAAGAACAUUUGGGAUUCCUGGGAGGGGAUCAAAAUAUCAUUAACGGGAAUUUGGAAGAAGUUGACUCCAACCCUCAUGGAUGAAAUCGAGGGAUUCAAGACUUCAGUGGAGGAAGUAACUGCAGACAUGGUGGAAAUAGUGAGAGAACUAGAAUUAGAAGUGAAGCCUGAAUAUGUAACUGAAUUGCUGCAAUCUUACGAUGAAAUUUUAAGAGAUAACGAGUUGUUUCUUAUGAAUGAGCAAAGAAAAUGGUUUUUUGAGAUGGAAUCUACUGCUGGUGAAGAUGCUCUAAACAUUGGUGAAAUGACUAUUUAGAAUAUUACAUAAACUUAGUUGAUAACAUGGUGGCAGGGAUUGAGAAGAUUGACUCCAAUUUAGGGAGAGAAUUACUACUGCAGGUAAAAUGCUGUCGGACAGCGUUGCAUGCUACAGAGAAAUCUUUCAUCAGAGGAAAAAUCAAUUGAUGGAGAAAACAUUAUUGUCAUCUUAUUUUAAGAAAUUACCACAGCCACCCCAACCUUCAGCAACCAUCUCUGAUGAGUCAGCAGCCAUCAACAUCAAGGCAAGACCCUCCACCAGCAAAAUGAUUACAACUUGCUAAAUGCUCAGAUUAUUAUUAGCAUAUUUUAGCAAUAAAAUAUUUUUAUUUUUAAGGUAUGUACAUUGUUGUUUUAGACAUAAUGUUAUUGCACACUUAAUAGGCUAUAGUAUAGUAUAAAUGUAACUUUUAUAUGCAUUGGGAAUCCCAAAAAUAGUGUGACUCACUUUAUUGAGACAUUCACUUUAUUGCAAUGGUCUGGAACCAAAACUACAAUAGCUCUGAUCUUUGCCUAUAUAGUAAAAUAAGAAAUUGAUAGAUUUCAGCCUUUUUGUAGCUGUUCUCAGUCAUUUUUGCAAUAUACAGUAUACUUAGAUUGGAGCCAUGGCAUCUUCAGUUGAAAAGAACCUGGUAGCAUCUAGUCCAGGCAUCAUGAAUGGCCAUACCUAUGGAGCCAGGUGGGUGACAUAUAGCAGUAGGAUUGUGGCCAGUGGAAAGUGACUCCUUGUCUAAACGUGGCUACUGCAACUCUCUUCCAGGCAUCGGGUGUCAUGUCAAAAUGAAAGAUUAGUUUUUCAAGGUGUUUUGAGCAGUAUUAGAUCUAUAUGUUAUAUAAAAUCUUCUGACUUUUCAAUGUUGUCAACAUAUCCAGUUUUUUGAAACAAAUAAAUAUGCCAAAACAAAAUGCCAAACAAAACAUGCCUGGGUACUAAAUUCAGUCAUUUUACAGUCUCUUAUUUGGUUAAACCCACUCAUUUUCUUUGGCAGAGAAAAUAAGAAGUAGAAAAACCAAGUGCUUUGUCCAAUCACAGAGUGAGGCAGGG
RNAcentral lists this long non-coding RNA (1682 nucleotides) under Homo sapiens (human). RNAcentral's name for it is "HSALNT0318653". The record is from RNAcentral. Lineage: Eukaryota; Metazoa; Chordata; Mammalia; Primates; Hominidae.